GGGUGAGUAACACGUAGGGAACCUGCCCGCGCACCGGGAAUACGCUCUGGAAACGGAGAACAAAUCCCGAUGUACAGGAAGGAGGCAUCUUCUUUCUGUGGAACAUCCUUUAGGGGAUGGGGCGCGGAUGGACCUGCGGUGCAUUAGUUGGUUGGCGGGGUAAAGGCCCACCAAGACGAUGAUGCAUAGCCGGCCUGAGAGGGCGGACGGCCACAUUGGGACUGAGACACGGCCCAGACUCCUGCGGGAGGCAGCAGUAGGGAAUUUUCGUCAAUGGGCGCAAGCCUGAACGAGCGAUGCCGCGUGAGUGAAGAAGGCCUUCGGGUCGUAAAGCUCUGUUGCGGGGGAAAAAAGGCAGCAUCAGGAAAUGGGUGCUGACUGAUGGUGCCCCGCCAGAAAGUCACGGCUAACUACGUGCCAGCAGCCGCGGUAAUACGUAGGUGGCGAGCGUUAUCCGGAAUGAUUGGGCGUAAAGGGUGCGCAGGCGGUCCUGCAAGUCUGGAGUGAAACGCAUGAGCUCAACUCAUGCAUGGCUUUGGAAACUGGAGGACUGGAGAGCAGGAGAGGGCGGUGGAACUCCAUGUGUAGCGGUAAAAUGCGUAGAUAUAUGGAAGAACACCAGUGGCGAAGGCGGCCGCCUGGCCUGUUGCUGACGCUGAGGCACGAAAGCGUGGGGAGCAAAUAGGAUUAGAUACCCUAGUAGUCCACGCCGUAAACGAUG
RNAcentral lists this ribosomal RNA (721 nucleotides) under uncultured bacterium. RNAcentral's name for it is "bacterial SSU rRNA". It matches the Rfam family "Bacterial small subunit ribosomal RNA", at positions 104 to 811 of the family's 1533-position model. The record is from RNAcentral.